This 1542-nucleotide long non-coding RNA is filed under the name Anolis carolinensis (green anole). Its description in RNAcentral is "lncRNA (ENSACAG00000038189.1)". The record is from RNAcentral. Lineage: Eukaryota; Metazoa; Chordata; Lepidosauria; Squamata; Anolidae.
AGGUGUCUACGGACAACGCCGGCUGUUCGGCUUAGAAAUGGAGAUGAGCACCAACCCCCAGAGUCAGACAUGACUGGAUUUAACGUCAGGGGAAACCUUUACCCUUUACCUAAAGUAUAUUAUUAUUAUUAGACUGGGGUAUGUGUGGUCAAUCAGAUGCUGUUGGACUGCAAUUACCACCAGCCCUAGUUACCUCAAUGGUGAGAAAUGUUGGGUUUCCAUGUCAACAACCUCUGAGGUGGAUCUAUUCCCUAUCUUUGGGUCUCUGGUUUUCUCAGCUCUGCUGAAGAUACUGGAGAUGGUGCCUGGGUGUUUCUGCAUGCAAAGCAGGUGCUUGAAGCUCUGUAGACAAAGCUGGUGUUAUGGAGUUAUGAUUCUUCCCAAGAGAAAGUGCUUAGUUUUCAAACUACUAAAAAGAGCUUGUAGUUUUUUUUAAGGAUGAGAGAAACAGUGCCAGACAAAGAAACCAACAUACGGAAGCCUUUUCCUCAUUGCCAUCACUCAACAGCUCAUUAAGCUUUCCCUCACUGGGGUGGCUGAGCUCCGGAUGUGGGCCACUGUUUGAGGUUUUGACGAGAAAAGUAAAAAAAACCAACUGAGAUGAAUAUAAAAGUUUCCUCUUGAAAACAGAUCAGCUUCCUCCAUUCUCUACUGACGCAGAUAUGGCGAGGCUAGGAAGGGGGGGGGGAGGGAUGGGCCAGGGCACUGCUGACUAGUGACCUGCUGAGUUGCCAGAAUGGAUCGGUCCUCUUUAUGGAGCAAUGCCAGCUCUGCCGGUGGGUUUUCCUAGGACCCUGCAUGCUCUUCUAAGAAUUAGGUUCUCAACAGAGAUGGACAAGGUCACCUCGUGGCUUGGCCAGUCUUCUUGGGAAAGACGCAAUGCAUGGGCUAAGCACAACUCCAAAUGGCCAGCUGUCAAAGAGGGGAUACCUGAUGUUCCAGAGGAUGUACUUGAUCUGAAGAGCCCAAGUUUGGAUAAUGAUUUCCUCCAAGGUGGGAUAAUUGCAUGCUAACAUAGAUUUAUACUCACUUGCUGUCCUUCUUAAUAAUACCUCUGCCCUUACAACUCAGAAAGCAAACCAUUACAGUGAAAAGAUCUUCCAAAGUAGUUACAUUAUAGCUGCAGUUUUUCCAAAUACCUUUCUACUUUCUCACUAGCUCCUCAAAUGGCUAUAGGGAGGGGGAGUCCAAUUAGAUGUUGAGAAGAAUUUGCAUUAAAAGUCCUUUACCUCUCCUAGGGAUGCAUGACUCUACAAAGAGACAUGUAAAUGAUAUCUUUGCCUUCUGACAACCAAUCACAAUAUAGAGCAUGCUGAACUUUAAAUACAACAUUGAGGAAAAUCACCUCCUGCCACAAACAGAAAUAUUUCACCAUUUGAGGAAGCAUCUUUUCCAAACAAAUGCUAAGCUUAUAAUCUUAUCUUGAAACUUAUUUAUGAAAGACAGAAUGCUAAAUGUUGUUUUUCAGUGGUAUAAAAAUAGCCAGGUAGUGAAAACCAUGCAUCCUACUCCUUUAAAAGUAACUAAAAUCCCUGCAAAAAG